Molecule: long non-coding RNA, 789 nt
Organism: Meriones unguiculatus (Mongolian gerbil)
Lineage: Eukaryota; Metazoa; Chordata; Mammalia; Rodentia; Muridae
Exons: 3
Source: RefSeq, a predicted model, not a curated record
GUGAGAUGGCUCAGUGGUUAAGAACACUUGCUGUUCUUUCAGAGGCACCACGUUUAGUUCCCAGCGUCCGCCUGAGGUGGUUCAGAACCGCUGGAACUCCAACCACCUGGAACUCCAGCUCCAGAGAAUCCAUCCUCUUCUGGCUUCCAUGGUGAGCACAAGCAGCCAUGGUCUUUGAUCUGAAAGCAGACAAUGAAGCCAGUGGUGACCCUUGACCCCACGUAGCAUGUUGCAGUUAAGUGUAUUGAAGUUAGACGAGGACACAUGGCAAACCCUGGCCAUCAAAGUGUGGGCAGGAUGUGGCUGAUGUUCUGCUGAUGCAACCAGGGCCAGCAAGUUCGUCACACUCAACUUCCCUCGAUGCGGCAACCACCGAGGUCACAUGAUCAGAUGCUGCUGUGGCAAAGGCUCCGGGCUAGAACACCCGCGCCAGACUCGGCGGCUGUGAGAAACACAUCUUUAACUGUGGCAAAUCCCUGAGAUCUCGGUUCGUUUCUGUGGUAAAACCAGACCUAUUCUGACUAAGGCUGUGUGUGAGCCUCUCUCUCUCCCUUCUUUACCACAGACCAGGAUGACAUACAUUCUCUCGAGCUUCCUCUCUAACACAGCCCUGCCUGGACAGCACCACAUCUACGUUAGCGUUCUUCUCCCGACGCUCUGCCCUCGGGGAGACAAGUCAGCAUCCUAACUAGGUGCUUUCAGUGGGGCCGAAUCUGGAUUUCAGAUCUGCUGGCUGGGAGAACAAAAUGGAUGAUAAUAAAGUUGGUAAUGUUGAGUUAAUAUGUCAGA